GGUGCCCGUGCUAGAAUUGUCAGUGGCUGUGGUGUUCAAGAGGCUGACUGUCUCGGAUGCAAGUUUCUGCCGGAUUUGCUAUGUUUUGAUGCUUUUGAGUCGGGCGAACCGCCUUCAAUUAAGCUACCGUUGAUAUCAGCAUAAAAAUGGCUUCUCAAAGCGCGAAACGUCAUGUUAGCAAAAGAGGAACUGGAAAUAACCUCGUUAUCACAAGCAUCACUGCUUCGACAUCAGCUACCCAACCCAAUCCGGCUAUUCCCGUCGGAUUUCCAGUUGCAGCUGAUCUCGCAUCACUGUUCGAAUGUCCUGUGUGCUUCGACUAUGUACUGCCCCCUAUACUUCAGUGUCAAAGUGGUCAUUUAGUUUGUAGCAAUUGCCGACCAAAACUUACGUGCUGCCCCACAUGUAGAGGACCCCUUGGUAAUAUAAGGAACCUUGCAAUGGAAAAAGUGGCUAGCACAGUUAUGUUCCUUUGCAAAUAUUCUACAUCAGGGUGUAAUAUGUCGCUCUUGCAUACAGAAAAAGCAGAGCAUGAAGAAAUUUGUGAAUAUAGGCCAUAUUGUUGCCCUUGCCCUGGGGCAAGUUGCAAAUGGCAAGGAUCAUUGGACCAAGUGAUGCCUCAUUUAUUAAUAUCACAUAAAUCUAUAACAACCUUACAAGGAGAAGACAUUGUUUUUCUUGUAACAGACAUCAAUUUGCCAGGAGCCGUCGAUUGGGUCAUGAUGCAGUCUUGUUUUGGGCAUAAUUUUAUGCUAGUACUAGAAAAACAAGAAAAAUAUGCUGGACACCAACAGUUCUUUGCUAUUGUCCAGUUGAUAGGUUCUAGGAAACAAGCAGAAGUUUUUGCCUAUAGGCUUGAACUUAACGGCCAUCGGAGGAGAUUAACCUGGGAAGCGACACCUAGGAGUAUUCAUGAAGGGAUAGCAUCGGCAAUUUUGAGCUCUGAUUGUUUAGUAUUUGACACCUCAAUUGUUCAACUUUUCGAAGAUAAUGGAAACUUAGGCAUAAAUGUUACUAUUUCAAUGGUAUCAGAUAAGGUUCGUGAUUGAUGAACUGAAAGAUGUUUGAAGAUGCUCUACAAAUCUAAUUAAUGAUAUUUUAAAUUAUGUGGUGAAAAAUCUGCAAGGCUUGUUUAUAUUAUUUUCAUUAAUUUUCAUAUUUAAAAAAAAAGUAUUUGUAUGAAUAAUGAGGCUUAACCAGAAAGGAGACAGUAAUAUUUUUCUAUUAUUGUUAGAGGGAUAAUAGAAUAACUGCAACCAAUAUGGCGUGGAGAGGAAUGUAAAAGUAUAUGCAUUUCAACAAUUUUGGGUUUGCAAUGUAUUAAUGAGAUCGUACAAGGAUUGUUUUUCUCUUACAACAUGAAAUAGAAUCGAGACAUAAUGUUGAGUUAUUUUAUAACUGACUGGUUUUAAUUUCUUCUCGCCAUAAAAUUAAUCACAUUAGUAAUACUCUACCUGUUAAAAAUGUGUAUAGUUGUAUAGAAAAUAUUUUAGAGUGAUAAGCAUUUAGUAAAAGUAAUAUAAUUGAACUGUUGAAAGUUUUUACAGCAUUUAUAUAUUAAUUAUCGUUAAAAUAAAGUUAAAGUAAUUUUUAUUGGUCUUACUUUUUGGAAAUUUUGUUUCUGUAAUCUUUGCGUUUGCACAUGGUUGGUAUAAUAAUAGUAUUAAAAUGUAGGUUUGGUUGUAACAUUACAAUAUACUAUAUUUUUGAAUACACCUUUUUGUAAACUGUAAAUGAUUUUAUGCUCUUUUGCAAAUCAUACAAAUGUUAAAUCAAAAUAAUUUUUGAUUUUGUAUUAUCAUUUCCCUUGUGAUGUUCGGUUUGAGUAAAUUUAAUUCUCAUUUUAUUUUUUGUCUAGAAUUUGAAAGUAAUUAAAUAUGUAAAUAUAAUAGUAGUAUAUCUUUGAACUUGAAUGUAGUUUUAAAUUGGUUAGAUGAAAAGCUUUUAAUUUUUUGUACGUUCAUUUUGUCUCCUUCAUUUUAUACUUUCCAUUUUUUUAAAGAGCUGUGGCUUGAUAACAGUCAGUUUAAAAAAAUCUAAAUAAAUAUUCUGUGAUAUAUUAUACGGGAAUAUUUACUGAUUCCUGUUUUUACUAUUUUCUUUUUUUCAUUAAGAUCAUAAAUUGAUUUUUUUGUUUUAAUUAUAUAUAAGGCUGAUUGUUUUGUACCCAGUAAGUUCAAAAUAAGGAUUGCAGAUUGCUGACGAUGAGAAACAAUGUGUAAAUAUUUUAAAAUAUUUUUUAUAUCAGUCACAAUUUGUAAAAAAUAUUUUCUCCUUUUCCAGAUUGGUU
Molecule: RNA transcript, 2290 nt
Organism: Cimex lectularius (bed bug)
Lineage: Eukaryota; Metazoa; Arthropoda; Insecta; Hemiptera; Cimicidae
Gene name: E3 ubiquitin-protein ligase SIAH1B-like
Exons: 8
Source: RefSeq, a predicted model, not a curated record